UGAACAGUCAAACUGCUCUAAUACCCCAAAUUAAAACAUAGGCCCAUCAAAUCCAUCUCACAAAAUUCUACUGUAAAUACUGAAAUGGACAGGUCUCCUAUAUGGCACACACUCUCACUAACAGACACACACAGUCAGUAACAGACACGCAUACACUCUCACUAACAGACAUGCAUACACACUAACAGACACACACACUAACAGACACACACACUAACACAAACAC
This is a non-coding RNA of Pelobates cultripes (western spadefoot toad), 226 nucleotides long. Lineage: Eukaryota; Metazoa; Chordata; Amphibia; Anura; Pelobatidae. The record is from the annotation of a GenBank genome assembly.